AAAAGUAGUUUAUCUGAUAUACGUAAUGUUUGGCCAGGUGUAUAAAGUUCUUAAAGAUCUGAGAGGUAAACAGGAGCUAAAUUAUUUAAACAUUUAAAAUUUUCAGUUUGUUACCAUACCAUACAUGGGCAGCACUUCCAACACCAAUAAUAACAUGUCCGCUUGAUCAGCGGUUGUGGAACCACGUAAAAGGUUGUCCCGAAAACAUAAAUGCAUGGCACCCAAAACUGACGUACAGACCUAUAUAUUGGAACAACUGUUACGCAAAUAUGGAAUUUUACGUCACAGAAAAGUGGGAUUCAUUUACGAUAACAUUGGAGGUCAAUCCUGAAAGCGAAUCGGGUAUUAUAAUGGCCUAUAGUGACGAUAUGGGUAUUGUUGAAUUUACCGUUGAAUUGAUAAGUGGCACAUUGUGUGUGUUACUAAAACAUGCCUAUAUGAUCGGUGGUAAUCUUCUCACCAACUCGUGGACAAGUCUAGCUAUCAGCUAUAAUUCACAAUCAGGUAUAUUCUAUCUGUACGCCAAUGGUUACCUGAUGGAUAGCAUCAGUUAUGGUCACAAUGACAUGUACUUGCUGAAUGAUGGUACUCUUCAACUAGGAAAUGACGCGUACGAAGAUGGAAUUGAUCACUUUAAAGGGAUGUUAGCAUGUUUAUCUUUUUACAACGUGUCGGUGGUACCUACCUUUGACAGAUACAAAAUGAUGCAUAAUGAAGCACUGAAAAUGUGUAACCAGGAUACAAUUACGACAACACUGUUCGGAUAUUACAACUACCUAGAAACAACGACAACUAGCAGACCGUUUUACUGGCUAUCAACAAGUUAUGACAUCAUGGUUUCUAACAACAAGGUAAAAACAACAACUGGUCAACCGAGACAACCACCAUCCAGUCUUUCUAACGGAAUGUCUUACUUUUUAAUAGUUGGCCUUACUGUUAUUGCUGUCAGUCUAUCGGUGAUCAUUGGUCUCUUGGUCCUCCUUAGGUGGCAAAAAAUGAAAACCAAGAGAGACAAGGCUGUGACAUCAUCAGAGCAUGAACACCGAAGUCACAA
Long non-coding RNA from Patella vulgata (common limpet), 1054 nucleotides. RefSeq lists it as uncharacterized. The transcript is spliced from 6 exons. The record is from RefSeq and is a predicted model, not a curated record. NCBI's taxonomy places the organism in Eukaryota, Metazoa, Mollusca, Gastropoda, Patellidae.